RNAcentral lists this ribosomal RNA (816 nucleotides) under uncultured bacterium. Its description in RNAcentral is "bacterial SSU rRNA". It matches the Rfam family "Bacterial small subunit ribosomal RNA", at positions 544 to 1353 of the family's 1533-position model. The record is from RNAcentral.
GCCGGAUCUACCAGGGCCGUACAGCGCGGUGUACGAAGCUUCUUGUUAACGUAGGCGCGUGACAGGCUCCUUGACUCAACUGGGAGAGGACCGUUCUAAACUGCAGAACUAGAGGAUGGUAGAGUGAGGUGGUAAUUACCAGAUGUAGCGGUGGAAUGACGCAGAUAUCUGGAGGCACACCCAGUGGCGAAAGCGGCUUCAUGGAUCCAUUCCUGACACUCAGACGCGAAAGCUAGGGUAGCAAACGGGAUUAGAGACCCCGGUAGUCCUAGCCCUAAACGAUGUAGACUAGACGUCGGUGGUGUAAUAGCUGUCGGUGUGCCAAGCUAACGCGAUAAGUCUACCGCCUUGGGGACUACGGCCGCAAGGUUAAAACUCAAAGGAAUUGACGGGUCCCCGCACAAGCAGCGGAGCGUGUGGUUUAAUUCGUCGCUACACGAAGAACCUUACCUGGGUUUGACAUAGCAGUGGUAGGGAAGAGAAAUCGGACCGACCCUUCGGGGAGCUGUUACAGGUGUUGCAUGGCUGUCGUCAGCUCGUGUCGUGAGAUGUUCGGUUAAGUCCGCUAACGAGCGCAACCCGCGUUGUGUGUUAUAUGUGUCACACAAUACCGCCGGUAUUAAGCCGGAGGAAGGUGCGGAUGACGUCAAGUCAGCAUGACCUUUAUAUCCAGGGCUACACGCACCGCUCCAAUGGACAGUACAACACGUUGUCAAGCCGCGAGGCGGAGCCAAUCCUCUAAAGCUGUCCUCAGUUCAGAUUGCAGGCUGCAACUCUCCUGCAUGAAGUUGGAGUUGCUAGUAACCGCAGGUCAGC